RNAcentral lists this long non-coding RNA (1031 nucleotides) under Meriones unguiculatus (Mongolian gerbil). RNAcentral describes it as "lncRNA (ENSMUGG00000001577.1)". The record is from RNAcentral. Lineage: Eukaryota; Metazoa; Chordata; Mammalia; Rodentia; Muridae.
GCAGACUAUGUGGGAACAUCAGUUGAACAGGCAGAACAUGGUACAAUAAGAACAGGCAGAAACUUUCAUCAAAGCUAUGCAAGGCAACCGAGUAGUUGGAAAAGGGUCUCAAGACUCAGAGAUAACCCCACUCCCACUAUCUAGAGUCCCUGACAAACCACCAAGCCAACCACCAUCACAUACGUAGAGGACUUAGUGUAGAUUCAUGCAGGCUCUUUGAUUGCUUUUUCAGUCUCACACAUUAGGUUCACGAUUCAUUACUCAUGCUGUCAACUGCGUCCUAGAACUGGAAAGGUACCAGAAGUUGCCAGUCUGGAUGCCCAUAACCUUCAUCAUACUCCUCUUCCUGAUCCUCUUCUUUCUUCUACUUACAUUCAAGCAUCAGAAUAAGCACAAGAGGAGAGGUGAGUAGACUGGUAGACUCGGGUCUUAGUGGGUAGUGGUUCCUACUGUGGGCUAUCCAAGCAGGGACUCAGGGAAGCAGAGCAGAUUGGAACAGAUACAUUUAAAAACAUUUCUGCAAAAUCUCUGAUCAGAAAAUGUGAUCUGGAAACCUGUGGAAUGUCAGGUAUCAUAUGAGUUUCUCAUUUGCUGGAAUAUUGGAACACAUAUACAAUGAGUUUUAAAUGUGUCUUCCUUUUGCAAAGGUGUUAAGUAAGGAAGCUCCACCUCCUGUUUGAGGCUCUUCCUUUUCUUGCAGUCCAGCAAAAGACUGACUUGCAACAUCCUGAAGAAGCUGCAGAGCCAGGGAGCAUGGUUAGAUGUCUCCAGAAAAGAUCCAGUCCAGAUCCUGCCAACCAGGAAGAAAUCUUGUAUGCUACUGUGAUGAUCCGAAAGCCAACAGACAGCUUGGAGCUAGACACUCUGAGCCGACGUGAGGAUGACCCCUCCAUGCACUUGUAUGCCCAGGUGAAACGUUCCAGAAGGGCAGAGACCACCUCUCCUUCCCUUUUGCCAAAGGAAUUACUGGAUUCAAAUUACAGACAGGCAAAUGAAGGCCAAGUGAUAGACAAACAGGUGGGUUCUGACCU